Long non-coding RNA from Antechinus flavipes (yellow-footed antechinus), 3229 nucleotides. RefSeq lists it as uncharacterized. NCBI's taxonomy places the organism in Eukaryota, Metazoa, Chordata, Mammalia, Dasyuromorphia, Dasyuridae. The transcript has 3 exons. The record is from RefSeq and is a predicted model, not a curated record.
CCAAAAACAAGAAGAUCAGCAACAGCAGCCAGUAAUCUCUGUGACCCAAAAAUGAGUGAAUGUCCAACUACCUAAGUAGGGGAAGGACACGUACUGUUCUGUUCUCAUCAAACACAGCGUGAAGAACAUCUAUAUUUGGGAGGACAGCAGGACUUAUAAAGAGGAGGGGGAAGAGUCCAAGUCUUUAAACUGGGGGGUUCUGGUCUCAACUCUGCUACCUCCUCCCUGGGGGCAUCUAGUCCACAUAUCCCCUCUUAGAGCCCCAACUUUCUAAUGUGUUAAGGGAGAUAAAAACCUUUGCCCUGCUGGGCACUGAUCUGACAUCUAUAGAAGCACCCUGUGUGCCCCAAAGUACCACACAGAUAUUAGCUGGAAACAGUUCAACCCUCCAGGCCUUCAAAGGUGCACUAUUCACAUUUGGCAUUUUAUAUCACACUGCACUUAAGUUCAGAACAAAGGUGGGGAGCGCCAACCCUUUACCACAUGACUAAGCUAAACAUUUCUAAUCUUUUCCUCUCUAAAACCUUAAGCCUCUACUGUAAUCUGUCUGUUCACCAGCCACACUGGUCCCUAAUUAUACAGGGAGGGGAUUGAGAAAGUGCACACUGAGAACUCAGACCAGCUCAGAGAAGAUUUGGGCCUGGCUGGGGGAGGGGAGGGAAGGAUUUAGCUUAGGCAUCAGGUUAUAAGAGUCACACAGGCCAGUUGGUAGGGCCUUGGGCUUGGGAGUUAUGACACUAAAGUCCUCUUUAUUCAUCUGUUCAUAAAGGAUUUGGGGCCUGGACAAUCUACACAAUGAAGAUAGGCUAUGAGCUGCAGUUAUACAGAGCUCUCUCUUUUAAGAGACCUUCAAGAUUCCUGGGCUAGUAGGAGCCCUGGAGAACCUAUAGUUUCUAUAACUUUAAGUGACAACAUUCUACCCAAAUGACACUCAUAAUAGCUAAGACAUACGAAACACACAAAUCCACAUAUCCCCACCCCCUUCUCAUAUGCCGAUGCUGCUUGAACAUUCAUUAUUACAUUAGCUCUUAACUGCUAUAAAGAACCAGCCAUUAAUGUACUUGAGGAAACACCUUCCUAAACCUUCAUGGGGAGUUGGAGCAAAUGGUCAGGUAGUGUGAUAAGUGAACACAUUUAAGAGACAGAGUUUCUGGGUAAUAAUCGAUUAGGUUAGCUAAUAAUCAAAAAAUUGGUGGUCAGCGGUUUCUCUCGCUCACCUCUAAUAGAGGAUACCUUAAAGACUUUUCUGAAAGGGAAUUCCCAACAGGAGAAAUCAAUCCUGAUUGGUAGACGUUUGAAUGAGGUGGUGGUGGGCCAAAAGGAUUCGGCUUCUGCUGAAAACUUGACUUAGUGCUUCCAGGCCUCUGGCCAAGGGCAUCCAUCUCUCCUUCAGGAGCUCAGUCAUCUUAAACCCCAUUUGAGGGGGAGAGAGAGAGGCAUGUGCAAGGACACGGGCUUAUUCUCAGAGAAUUUAUCUAGAUUAGAUUCUGUUUAUACUUCAAAGUAGCAUCCUCAAAGGAGAAAGAAGGUCUCCUAGUUGGGUGGGAUCCUACCCAAGAUUGAGGACCAUGUCCCAAGGUUUAGGGCAAUCUCCUCUACCUGUCAUGCUCUUCGGAGACUUGACUGACUGACCUAUAAAGGCUGGUCUCUGAAUAAGGAAAUAAAAAGCCUGGAUCCUAAUUAAUAUAAUAAAAAACAAUCAUUUCUCUCAGUAGAGAAGGGAGUUGAAAGUCUUCAGGGAAACUAAAGAAAGCCCAGGGGAUGGGGAGGGGGGGGGGUGCAUCCCUGCUUUUCAUUACCAGCAUCCUUUAAUAAGCCACAUCAGGUGAGGGCUCCACACAGGCAGCUCGGUACAGCAGCAAAGGACCGGGCUGGCAGCCGACGGGGGAGCCUCGCCCAGCUCGGGCACGAAGCAGCUGUUUCUCUGGGCAAGUUCUCCCCCACCCUCCAGUCUUGGUUUCUCAUCUCUAACAUGCAGGCCCUGAGCAGUAUGAGUACAAGGGUCACUUCCACCUUGGAGAAGCCGUGGCUCAAGUUAGUUGCCCUAAAGCAAUGCAGCCUUUCGCUCCUUCUAUCACCAGCACUCUCAGGCAGCUUCAUUUUAAACACAGGGCUAGCUUUUCUUGGGACAGUCUGGGAGCCUGAUGAUUGUGGACAGCAAACAAGAAAAAAGCUUCGAGAUAGAAGCACUGCAGAUGGCAGGACCCGCCAGGCGUGGGACAGGAAGGCAGGAGGCGUCUCCUGGUCCUUGAUGCCUGCAGACAAGCCCUCGAUUUCCUCCCAAAGGAGCAUCAGCAAGGACAAGGCCCCGGGGUGCAUCCUGUGAUUCCCAAAGAAAUGUGGCCACGGCUAUCUGCGUUUCCAGCAACGAUCCUGUCCUUCCAGCCCCUAGCAGGACCCUCAAUAAAUAAAUUAGUAAUAAACUGAACUGUUUUCCACUAAAAUAUGCUCCUUAUUUUUUGAAAUGGCCUGUCAACAUCCACAAGUGUCAUCCACAAGCUAAUUACAACUUGUAAAAGAUCAUCAUGAAUAAAAACACAGUCUAAAAGGGUUGGGAGGAGACUGGGAAGGUAGGUGGAUGGAGGUGGACCUAAGGAACCAAAAUCACUGACCUACUCAGAAGAAAGUGACAAAUGUUGUUUCCCUUGUUUGGGCCACGGAGCUCAUUUGUUUUAAAAGUUUCCUUGUUCACACACACACACACACAGAGCUGUCCUUCAUGUCCUAAUCUCCAUUUCCACCCAACAGAGUGCUCUCUUAUAAUGCACACAGGGAGUGCGGCAAACACACGGACCAUCUGGUGCACCCGCCUCCUGCGCCCACAGCCCACCGCUAGGCUCUCACACUGGAAAAUGCCCGGGGCGGGAUCUCCUGAGAAGCUCUGAAAAGUUCCUGUAUUUCUCUAUGGAUUUUCUCAUGGGGCUCAAAGUCAUUCACAGUGGGUCUCUCAAAGAUCCUUGUAAGGCUGGUAAAGGUGCCCCUUUAUAGGUGGGGAGGACCUUGCCCAAGGUCAGAGAAGACCCUUCCUCCCAGUGCUCUGCUGCGGUCUCCUCAUCCUCCCGGGAUGCUCUAUAACAGGAGCCCCAAGCCACCCCUCCUCCACCCCAGGAAGCCCCAAAGCUCUCCGGCCGCCAGGGCGUUUCUGCUCCCUUGGUUUCCAAGGUGAGGCAGGGGACAGAGGCUCGGACCCUGUCCUCAGAGGGCGGCCCGGGGCGCCGGUCUCUGCUGC